AUUGUCAAGUCACCCCACUUCCAAUCCAUGGAUGCUAUCCACAAGGACCAAGAUGAUGAUGACCAGGAUGGAAGGAGCCCACGCCCGACCCCGACGACGGCGGUUUCAUUUGUGUGCCGGCGUCGACCACAACCUCCCUCUCUGUAAUAUGUACAUCACUAACCCAGUCAGUGGUUAUGAAUUUCGCUCUCUGAAGGACGUGCAACGUUAUAUUGAAUCAGGGGACACAAGUAAAUGCAAUGUUAGGCCAAAGAAGAGAACUGCCCAGGAUGCUUGUAUUACACAGAAUCAAGAUUAU
Triticum aestivum (bread wheat) is the source of this 298-nucleotide long non-coding RNA. RefSeq lists it as uncharacterized. The record is from RefSeq and is a predicted model, not a curated record. Lineage: Eukaryota; Viridiplantae; Streptophyta; Magnoliopsida; Poales; Poaceae. The transcript has 2 exons.